CCUGAGAGGGUGACCGGCCACACUGGGACUGAGACACGGCCCAGACUCCUACGGGAGGCAGCAGUGGGGAAUCUUGCGCAAUGGGCGAAAGCCUGACGCAGCAACGCCGCGUGGGGGAUGACGGCCUUCGGGUUGUAAACCUCUUUCGACAUCGACGAAGCCUUCGGGUGACGGUAGGUGUAGAAGAAGCACCGGCUAACUACGUG
This 206-nucleotide ribosomal RNA is filed under the name uncultured bacterium. RNAcentral describes it as "partial 16S ribosomal RNA". It matches the Rfam family "Bacterial small subunit ribosomal RNA", at positions 291 to 507 of the family's 1533-position model. The record is from RNAcentral.